CGCUCCUGGGCGGUGAGCGCGGCCUCUGCGUGUUGUAGCGGAGCGUUCGGAGAUGGAGGGGGGACCGGUGUUUGACGGCUGAGAAGGUCACGCUCGCUUUGUGUUAUCAUCUUGAUGCUGUUCGUUUAAAAUGACCCUGUGACUAAAACAGCGUGAAAAGCGAUGCUGGGUUUCCAGCAUGUAUGGCUCAGAGGAUGUUGACACACAGAAGCACAGUUUUAGUUCCAACCAGUUUGGAAAUUACAUUUUUUUCUUACCUUUUUUUUAUUAUUAUUGAGGUGUAAGACACGAGUGAAGUCAUCAAGCGCAUAAAUCUUCAUUGUACAGCUCAGUGAAUUUUUAUGGGUUUGUGAACUUGGGUCACCACCAGCUUGAUGAAGUGACCCCUGCAUUUGUAUAUAGAACAUUUCUGUCACCCCAGGAAUUUCCCUCUGCUUCUUCCAGUACUGGCGAAUAUAAAUCAACUCUUCCCUCCCUGGUCUCCAUUUCUUCAUCUGUGCAGUGGGGGAAGUAUACCUUUUCAGAAAGCUUUUGGAAAGAUGCGGCACAAAUUGAGGGUUUCUGGCUGUCUUAACAGUUUCUUUUCCCCAACCUCUUCCCCUUGCAACUCACCAUAAAUGCCAGAUUUCCCAUUCCUACUUUAUAAUAGUAGAAUGGAACCAAAAUAUUGUCCAACUGUCCAAAGGAAGAAACAAGGAAAUUUCUCUGAGUAGAAGUAUUUGAGUUUAUGAAUAGAAAAGACUGAUACAUUCUGAUGAAAUUUAUGAACUUCAUGGAUAAAUGUACAAUCUCAUAAGCUUCCAAAGAGAAGCAUAUGGUUACCUAUAAAGGGAUGGAAAUCAGACUUGCAAUUAGACUUUUAAUCUGGACAUGGACUGUUAGAUGACAGUGGAGCAGUUAUCUAACUAAAAUGUGCUCAUCGGACAUAUUUUGAACUCUGAAUCUUAUCUCUAAACUGUCAUUCAGAGCAGAAGCAAAAUAAGUCAUUUUCAGCCAGACCCCAGGAAUGCCCCAAUAUGUUUACAUCAAAUAAAAAAUAAUCUAAGAGAAACAGAGAUGGAGUUCAAGAAAUAGUGAUCAAAGAAAACAGUAAAACAUUUCUCAACUCUAAGGUAUUGACAACCAUAGCUAAGAAAUAUGCAAUACUAAGGAAGGAUUCAUAAAACAGAGUAGGUAUAAUAAGUCUAUAAUUUGGAACAAACAUUCAACCUGGUUUUUUUAAAGUUGGUUGUGAAGUGGGAAAUAGGUAAAGGCAUUUUGGAAGACUUAUCCUGAGCAGGGAGAAGCUAUAGAUACUGACUAAUUACAUGUUAGAAUAAACUCUUUAAGGAAAUAGAACUCAGCAGUUCCAUCUCCAGGGAUUCAUCCUAUAGAUGAAAUAAUACGUGUGGAGAGUCAUGUAUAUAUAAGGCUAUUUAUACUGAAAUGUGUAAUCGUGGCAAUAGAUUUGGAAGGAUACACAAAAACUGGAAAGAGGAGAACUGUGCCUCUGAGAUAGAAGGGAGAGGUUUCAUUGUAUGCCUUAUAUCAUGUGUAACAUUUUAAUCACAUGUAUUUAUUUGGGGAAAAUAUAAAAAAUUGGGGGAAGUGUAAAAAAUGUAAAACUUUAGAGCACGGGUUGCCAAACCUAGCUGGCCACUUAUUUUAAUCUGACCUGUUACCUAAGAGUGGUUUUUACAUUUUAAGUGCUU
This is a long non-coding RNA of Myotis brandtii (Brandt's bat), 1691 nucleotides long. RefSeq lists it as uncharacterized. The transcript has 2 exons. NCBI's taxonomy places the organism in Eukaryota, Metazoa, Chordata, Mammalia, Chiroptera, Vespertilionidae. The record is from RefSeq and is a predicted model, not a curated record.